RNAcentral lists this ribosomal RNA (454 nucleotides) under uncultured Streptococcus sp. RNAcentral's name for it is "bacterial SSU rRNA". It matches the Rfam family "Bacterial small subunit ribosomal RNA", at positions 925 to 1382 of the family's 1533-position model. Lineage: Bacteria; Bacillati; Bacillota; Bacilli; Lactobacillales; Streptococcaceae. The record is from RNAcentral.
ACAAGCGUGGAGCAUGUGGUUUAAUUCGAAGCAACGCGAAGAACCUUACCAGGUCUUGACAUCCCGAUGCUAUUUCUAGAGAUAGAAAGUUACUUCGGUACAUCGGUGACAGGUGGUGCAUGGUUGUCGUCAGCUCGUGUCGUGAGAUGUUGGGUUAAGUCCCGCAACGAGCGCAACCCCUAUUGUUAGUUGCCAUCAUUCAGUUGGGCACUCUAGCGAGACUGCCGGUAAUAAACCGGAGGAAGUGGGAUGACGUCAAAUCAUCAUGCCCCUUAUGACCUGGGCUACACACGUGCUACAAUGGUUGGUACAACGAGUUGCGAGUCGGUGACGGCGAGCUAAUCUCUUAAAGCCAAUCUCAGUUCGGAUUGUAGGCUGCAACUCGCCUACAUGAAGUCGGAAUCGCUAGUAAUCGCGGAUCAGCACGCCGCGGUCGAAUACGUUCCCGGGCCUU